AGCGGGAACUUUUCCCUCUUUGGAACCUUAGCUGAGGUUUAAUUUGUUUACAAUCAGACAACAAAACUUCGUCUUUAUGUUGUCUGAUUCAUAAAGCAAAAAUUAAAAGCCUGCCUUUGACAACUUAAUUAGCUAGCUAGGUUUAUUGGAUUUGCUGUUUCCUCUCGUCGAUCGAGCAGCUCUCUUCUCAUCUUCAUCAAAAACCAUCACUCUCUCAUCAAAACACCAUGGGUCUCUCAUGAAAACACAUCUCGAUUAGGACUCGACUGCACUCAUCCUUCACUGCACUCAUCGAUUAUGAUUUCGAUCCCUCUUCUUAUUCGUGUCUAUCUCUCAAAAGCCAACCCAUUUCCUCUCUCAUCUCCCCUGACCUGCAAACCAAAAAGGAAGAAGCUCGAAGUUUUGAUUCUAAGCAACAUCACCACGAAGAUCGGGAAGAGACGCUCUUCAUUCCUCUCUUCAAUUGAACUACUUUUGGUGGAACGGUUCAGAUCAUCGUCGUCGUCCACCUCCAGCAGCUCUCACUACCUCUCCAAGUGACUCCUUUGAGGCACCGUCGUUCUCCAGGUCCUCUACGGUCACAUUCGCUUCCCCAACUCCGACCACGUCGUUUUCGGUAAGGAGAAAUCGAUAGAAUUGGUGAUAAUUGGUGAAGUUGGGGGAUGGUACAGUCUGUAUGUGAUCAGCAGCCUGUGUUUGGCACCAUUAAAGACAUUGCCGUCCUACCAUGGAAUGACAGAUUCCGAACUCGAAACCGCCAGGAUUUGUAGGCUUGCAGUUGGUAAUGGCUUGGUCUGGUUGAGUGUGCUGAAUAGUUGAAAGCAUUUUCUACCGCUAAAUCUGCAGGUUAGUCCUGUGAUCUGAUAUUCAUUUUGUACGAAAGAUGCUAUUGUAUCUAAAUCUGGUGGAUGGUACUUCUAAAAUUCGAGGGUACAUUCCUUAUAACAGUUAUAUUAACUUGGCUGGAAACAUCUAACUAUUUCGUUGUCACUGCAGCUCCAUAAUGAAAACAAUGAUUAUGACAGGGACAGAGAACUAGAUUGACUAUUUUAAACGUGUUAGCUUCAAGGGCAAGGGUUUAGGCUUAUAUUAUAACCUUUGGCAUAUCUCUCCCACUAUUACCUAAAGCCUCUUUCCUUGGUGAUUAUCAUCUACAUAUGAUUAUCUCAUUUAUAGAUAAUUGUGCAGCUGUACAUAUUAAUCUCUUUGUAUUUUGUUAUCACUUUAGUGAUUAAGUUCUACUACAAUUGUAACUUCUGUAUGCAUAUCAAUAUAAAUAUAGUCACUUGACUCA
This is a long non-coding RNA of Rosa rugosa (rugosa rose), 1294 nucleotides long. RefSeq lists it as uncharacterized. Lineage: Eukaryota; Viridiplantae; Streptophyta; Magnoliopsida; Rosales; Rosaceae. The record is from RefSeq and is a predicted model, not a curated record. The transcript is spliced from 5 exons.